UACUAAGGGCGCACGGUGGAUGCCUUGGCAGAAACAGGCGAUGAAGGACGUGGCAAGCUGCGAUAAGCUUCGGGAAGCCGCACACAGGCGUUGAUCCGGAGAUUUCCGAAUGGGGAAACCCACCAUGGUGAUCCCAUGGUAUGUCCUACUGAAUACAUAGGUAGGAACAGGCGAACGGAGGGAAGUGAACCAUCUCAGUACCUCCAGGAGUAGAAAGAAACCUCGAUUCCGAGAGUAGUGGCGAGCGAAAUCGGACAUAGCCCAAACCCGUGAUAUUUCGGUAUCUCGGGGGUUGUAGGGCCUGCACUAGUAGAGUUACCAAUCCAGUCGAUAGCUGAAGACCGUUGGAAAGCGGUCCCAAAGAGCGUGACAGGCGCGUAGGCGAAAUUGAUCUGGACUCGAAGCAGGUACCUGAGUAAGGCGGGGCACGAGAAACCCUGCUUGAAUCCACGGGGACCAUCCCGUAAGGCUAAAUACUCGUUUCUGACCGAUAGUGAACCAGUACCGUGAGGGAAAGGCGAAAAGAACCCCUGUGAGGGGAGUGAAAUAGAUCCUGAAACCGUGCACGUACAAGCAGUCGGAGCCCGCUUUGUUGGGUGACGGCGUACCUUUUGUAUAAUGGGUCAGCGACUUAUUCUCAGUAGCGAGGUUAACCAUCUAGGGGAGCCGUAGGGAAACCGAGUCUGAAUAGGGCGUUUAGUUGCUGGGAAUAGACCCGAAACCGGACGAUCUACCCAUGGCCAGAGUGAAGGUGCGGUAACACGCACUGGAGGCUCGAACCCAAGUAUGUUGAAAAAUGCUGGGAUGAGCUGUGGGUCGGAGUGAAAGGCUAAUCAAGUCCGGAGAUAGCUGGUUCUCCCCGAAAGCUAUUUAGGUAGCGCCUCGUAUAUCACCACCGGGGGUAGAGCACUGUUUCGGCUAGGGGCCCAUCCCGGGUUACCAAACCGAUGCAAACUCCGAAUACCGGUGAGUGCAGUACGGGAGACACACGGCGGGUGCUAACGUCCGUCGUGGAGAGGGAAACAACCCUGACCAACAGCUAAGGUCCCCAAGUCAUGGCUAAGUGGGAAAGGAUGUGAGACUCCCAAAACAACCAGGAUGUUGGCUUAGAAGCAGCCAUCAUUUAAAGAAAGCGUAACAGCUCACUGGUCAAGCGAUCCUGCGCGGAAAAUGUAACGGGGCUCAAGCCGUUUACCGAAGCUGCGGACUCGAGAGAGUGGUAGCGGAGCGUUCCCUACGCCAGUGAAGCAGAGGCGUGAGCCUCUGUGGAGGUAUGGGAAGUGAGAAUGCUGACAUGAGUAGCGACAAAGAGGGUGAGAUGCCCUCUCGCCGAAAGACCAAGGGUUCCUGCGCAACGCUAAUCGGCGCA
Molecule: ribosomal RNA, 1369 nt
Filed under: Durinskia baltica
Lineage: Eukaryota; Dinophyceae; Peridiniales; Kryptoperidiniaceae
Description: partial Bacterial large subunit ribosomal RNA
Rfam family: Bacterial large subunit ribosomal RNA
Source: RNAcentral